Long non-coding RNA from Ruditapes philippinarum (Manila clam), 2200 nucleotides. RefSeq lists it as uncharacterized. The record is from RefSeq and is a predicted model, not a curated record. NCBI's taxonomy places the organism in Eukaryota, Metazoa, Mollusca, Bivalvia, Venerida, Veneridae. The transcript is spliced from 2 exons.
CAAGAUAGUUUAGCGUUUUAUAUAUGGUUAAUAGUACGUUUCCACUCCAUUCAAUUAAAGCCGUGGUUUAAGGUAAUGUAAAAAAAGACCCUACCUUUAAACUUUAUCAUUUUACAACUAGUGACUCAAAUCUGUAAACACACUAAACGUGAUAUUUUAAAGAUCACCAAACUUUGAUAUAUUUUUAAUGUAGGCGUAAAGAUUGAAGUAUUUCCAUUGCUUGGAUUGGUGUGUAACUUAUUUAAGAUAUAUGUGCCCGCGUCUAAAUAUUUUUUAAAGUUGGUGUCGGUGUAUAGCAUUGUAACUUCCUUAUAAAAGAUUGACUUUAUGUCGAUUUUUUCUGUGAAAUGUUGAUACAAAUAAAUACAUGUUUGGAAUAUAAGUUCGUGCUACAUAGUUUCUCCGCGAAUUUAUUAUGAAAAUAAAUUCAUAUCUGGAAUAUAUAAUUAAACGCAAUAUGGAAUUAUUACAACUGCAUCACAGACAAAGAUAAAAAAAGGUGGUUUGUGGAAUUAAUAUAAUCCUUCAAAAGCUAAAUGGUGGAUCAUUCAACAACGUUGAAGAGGUGAAACUGAGACACAUUCCACAAGGAGAAUAUGUUCACAUUUAAAAUGUUCAAACGUGAUGUUUUAUACAGUGAAUAUACAGCGAACUUUUGUCUUUACUAUAAUAACUGAAAUGUUUAAUGCUGACAUUUUGUAAUAAAAUUUUAUAUUGGAUGAUGUACUGUUUUACUGUGCUGCAUUUGAUAAUAAAAACUAUGAUAAAAGGAAAUAAUCAAUGCUGACAUUUGACACUGUGUUGUGAUAGCGAUACAUUAUUAAACAUUAACAUUUAAUGAUAAAAAGUACUCAAAGGAAAUAUUAAAUGGUUAUAUUUGUUGAUAAACUAUAAUUUUAGUGUACUAUGCGUACAUAUCCAUUAUGUUUCAACCCUUCUAUGCAUGAAUAAAAACAGUGUUGUUCUGUCUUUUGUUAUUUGUUCAAAGAGGCACUCUCUAAACAUUUUACUGCAUAUUUUAAAUGACACAUAUGCUUCAAAAGAAAACAAAAUAAGUACAAUUUUUAAAACAAAGUAAGCCAAAAAUAUAUAUGAAAAAUUAAAAAAAAAAAAAAAUAAUUAAAAUAAAAAUAAAUGAAAACAAAAAUAAAUAAUAAAUUAAAAAUUAAAAAAAAAUAGAUGAAAGAACUAUAAAAAUAAAGCUAAAAAGAAAACAACAAAAAACAUUAUUAUUUCAAAUGAUUACGCAGAACCAAACUUUUGCAAAUGAUGUCGGAAAAUAUGUAAAUAUGUCAGUCAAAUUCAAUCAUAUUAACGUUAUUUUAAAGGAAGUACACUUGUGGUUUUAGUGAGUGCCUCUUUAUAAAAAACAUUACCCUUUCUUUUUGCCUAUUCUGAGGUUAUACUAAAUCGUCGCCACGGAAUAAUACAAAAUACUUUAUUUGAUUUAGUAAAUACUUAUACCUUUCACCAUGAUCCCAUAAGAAGACUUUACAUUACCGUAUGAACACGAAACUGUUAAUUAAGUAGUUGUUGAAGUGUAAAAGCAAAAAUGUAGUACAAUGUGCGUUGUGGCGUGUAAUGUAAACGAAUAUUAAACUUUUACGUGUGGAACUUUUAAGAACUUUUACGAUUAAGUCUCUUUGCGUUUCGCAUAUCACUUUUCUUCCAAAUGUAUAUAACAGAUGAAUAAGGCUAAUUGAAAGGCUAGUGUGUACAAUUUCAGCAUUGCUGCAUGUUUUCAUGCAUGAUGCGCAGUAUGUUUUUCUAUUAUUAGCUUAUCAUUAUAAAAACUAUUUUCGCUGAAAGUUAGUAAAAAAUCUUAAAGGGUGAUUUAAAUGUAAAUGAGGAUCAGAAAUCCUCGUGUUUUGAAAAUACAACAAAGCUGGAAUUUAUUCGCUACUGUUUCAUAACAAAGGUUUGCUGGAAAUUCUAAUAAUAAUAAUAGUAAAUUAAUUCAUUCUAGAUCAAACCCGAAAAUUCUCUUCCUACCUAAGGUGGCCACUGUAUAUAGAAUACAAAAGUGGUACACGUGCGUACGUCCUUAUUGUUCAAACGACUGUUUCGAAACUUUCUUAUUUAUAACGUGGAAGCACUUGAAUAGGUAGAUCAAAUGAGAAAUGAAAGUUAAGUACUCAUUUGAGUAAUUCUGUGUUUGGGGUUCACAGAUAUUAAUAACGUCCCCCGCAUUUCUCAUUUC